Molecule: non-coding RNA, 826 nt
Organism: Struthio camelus australis
Lineage: Eukaryota; Metazoa; Chordata; Aves; Struthioniformes; Struthionidae
Source: RefSeq, a predicted model, not a curated record
UGCAGAGAACAGGCAUGAGGAGAUGCAAGAUGAUUUUCUGGGACAGAUGAUAAAACACUAGCCUGAUGCAAUCCAACACCUCAAAAUGAUCAAAUAUUCGUUCAGUGAAGUCUUCCUGACAGAGAAGAAGGAGACUGGCUCUUCCAGCCUCACAUUUGCAUUGCUUUGGGGAAGGGAAUUAGCCAGCUGAAAAGACUGCACCACCUGAGCCCGGUGGAGCUGCACAAAGCAUUGGCUGCUUCACCUGGGGGAAAUCUUAGAAAUGGAGGUGCCCCAGUAGAGGAUUUGCAGGCCACACAUGGCUUGUCAAGCAAUGCUGGUGACUCAGAGGAGGUUAAUGUAAUAAUUUGCAUUGCUGAAGAAGAUGGAAAGAGGAGACGGACACGAAGAUGUACCGAUGCAGAGAGUGAGAAGAAUUUGCAGCUGGAGGAGCUGGAUUAUUUUUACUUCUGUGCAAAAAGAUUUCUGAGGCCAAGACCAUACCAGCAGCGGGGGAGAAGGUGGAGCACCACCCACUGUCCGUAGAGCUCGUCAGAGCAACAAGCCAGCUUGCCACCCCAGCAGUGACCACGUUCCCAGCUGUGUAUCGUUCUUGCUUCAGCUGACAAAUGCUUUGAAACCGAUAGGUGUUGUUGCCCUUUGAAGCAAAUGUGCUCAGCAGCCUUGAUCCCUUUGUGGAACCUACAAGACACAUUCUUGCUGCGUAUCAGGACCAGAGCUGGGUAUGGUACUUUCCUCUCCGUGACAUGCCUCGUAGCACCUUCUCCCUCCUUCCAUCCGGACGUGCCGUGUCAACUUUCACCAGGAGACACUUCCCCUUACCAUC